Long non-coding RNA from Astatotilapia calliptera (eastern happy), 332 nucleotides. Lineage: Eukaryota; Metazoa; Chordata; Actinopteri; Cichliformes; Cichlidae. The record is from Ensembl.
GUGCCUUGGUACACACACAAGAUAGAGAAGCGACGUCCUGUGGUUGAAACCAGUUAGUCUGAAGCAGAGAGUGACAGCAUGGCGGUCUACUCCUCAGUGAAAACUAAAGACCUCAGUUAUGAACAAGUAGCCAUCAGCCCAAAGAGAACCAGAGACUUUAAACCAGAGUCAGAGGUCGUCUACUCUUCACUGAAGUAGUCCACCAGUCCAACCACAGAUGUCCAGCUGCUGGUCUCUAACUGGUUCCCCCAGCACCUCAGACCAGAGAACAUCCACAUGUUACAGAUUUUAUUAAAUAUAUUUUAUGUCUUAAUCUCCUGUUGUUGGACCUG